GCUGGCGGCAGGCCUAACACAUGCAAGUCGAGCGAGAAAGCACUUCGGUGCGAGUACAGCGGCGGACGGGUGAGUAAUACAUAGGAAUCUACCCAGUAGUGGGGGAUAACUUGGAGAAAUCCAUGCUAAUACCGCAUAUGCCCUACGGGGCAAAGCAGGGGACCCUCGGGCCUUGCGCUAUUGGAUGAGCCUAUGUCGGAUUAGCUUGUUGGUGGGGUAACGGCCUACCAAGGCAACGAUCCGUAGCUGGUCUGAGAGGAUGAUC
This 265-nucleotide ribosomal RNA is filed under the name uncultured bacterium. RNAcentral describes it as "partial 16S ribosomal RNA". It matches the Rfam family "Bacterial small subunit ribosomal RNA", at positions 35 to 305 of the family's 1533-position model. The record is from RNAcentral.